GACGAACGCUGGCGGCGUGCUUAACACAUGCCAGUCGAACGGAAAGGCCCUGCUUUCGUGGGGUGCUCGAGUGGCGAACGGGUGAGUAACACGUGAGUAACCUGCCCUUGACUUUGGGAUAACUUCAGGAAACUGGGGCUAAUACCGGAUAGGAGCUCCUGCUGCAUGGUGGGGGUUGGAAAGUUUCGGCGGUUGGGGAUGGACUCGCGGCUUAUCAGUUUGUUGGUGGGGUAGUGGCUUACCAAGGCUUUGACGGGUAGCCGGCCUGAGAGGGUGACCGGCCACAUUGGGACUGAGAUACGGCCCAGACUCCUACGGGAGGCAGCAGUGGGGAAUAUUGCACAAUGGGCGGAAGCCUGAUGCAGCAACGCCGCGUGCGGGAUGACGGCCUUCGGGUUGUAAACCGCUUUCGCCUGUGACGAAGCGUGAGUGACGGUAAUGGGUAAAGAAGCACCGGCUAACUACGUG
RNAcentral lists this ribosomal RNA (468 nucleotides) under uncultured bacterium. RNAcentral describes it as "partial 16S ribosomal RNA". It matches the Rfam family "Bacterial small subunit ribosomal RNA", at positions 28 to 507 of the family's 1533-position model. The record is from RNAcentral.